This is a long non-coding RNA of Armigeres subalbatus, 1044 nucleotides long. RefSeq lists it as uncharacterized. The record is from RefSeq and is a predicted model, not a curated record. The transcript is spliced from 3 exons. NCBI's taxonomy places the organism in Eukaryota, Metazoa, Arthropoda, Insecta, Diptera, Culicidae.
UAUCGCUUGUUAUAUUUACAUGAUGACUUAUUUUUGAAUUUACUUAGAAUAUUAUUAUAUCCAUAAGAUUUUACAGGUUGAUUUCAAUAAUAGAAUAUUAUUGUUUCAACAAUCCCGUGAGGUUGAGCUUUCUUAAAAAACUUCGAACAUGGCUUCAGAGCAUACACUUGAAAAUUACCUAUUUAUGUUUAUAAACAAACAUGUCACACGCGAAUACAAGUGUAAUUAUAAUUUAUCAAUGGAUCAACAUCUUGACAUAGACAGAAAAAAAUAAGAUUGUCUUCAAUUUGUGAUUAUGAUGUAUGGAUGGGUUCAAAUCGUUUUUAUCAAUGACAAAUAUAAGCUAGUUAACAAAUAUCAUUUGGACGCAUUCGAACAUUACAGUUGAAUUUUGUAAAUAAAGUCAUGUACGUAAAGGUAAAACCGAAGGUAAAAGUGAAAUCGAGUGAUUAUGUAUGAUGUGGAUUUAAUAUUCUAGGCAGAACAAAGAGUAGAGCCCCGAUGUUAAAGAUACCAAGCUCAACACCCGAGAAAAAAAGUUAAUACGAUUUCCCGUAACAGUGCGGGUUCCGUUCGACGUUGGCAUAAUCUGUUUCAAUUACAUUCCAGCAGAAGAUUCUCAUUCAACGUUCGGGAUCGUAGGUGAUACUUGUGCCCUUAUAAAAGAGCAUAGAAAUAAGAUGUUGUCUUUUUAGGUAGUCGAAUUGCUAGUGUAAAUUGAAAUUAUGAUUAUUGUGCAAAUUAAAUUUCAUUGAGGCGUCAUAAAAAUUUAAUAAAAAAUAUGAUUAAAAUUAUGGUUACGAAUCUAUUUAUUUCAAUAAUAAAAUCCAUAAGUUCAAUAAAAAACACUCUUUUUAAAACAACAAUAUUAUUACUGUUUUUAAGGCUCUACAGAAGCUUUUAAAAAUUUCGAAGCUUUCAAAGCUAUUGUAAAAACAACAAUAAUGUAUUAUUGAAACAAUAAUAUUUCUUAUUACCGCCAAAACAAUGUGAAAUUCUUAUUGAAUUUAUAUCAAAUAUCAUUAUAUUUACAAGAGUUUUUUC